AUGUGGACCUCCCUCUGCCUUCAGCUUCUCAUCUUCCUUCCUUUCAGCCUCUCCAGAUCCCUGCUCUCAGUGACCCCUGGAGACCAGGAGCAGGCCUGUUGUGAGUACUGGAGCACCAUCCCUGAAAUCUACUAUAAGCUGAACAUUACCUCUACAACUGAAGACUUCAAUCUGCGGCUAGAGCUGGAGAAAGAUACCCUUCUGAAGUCUAACCUGGCUGCCUUCCGGAACAUCUCAGAGAAGUUCUUCAGUGUCUCUAAUGCAUCUUUAUCCAUCAAUAAAAAUCUGGAGAAGCUGGAGGUGUGUGAGGUUGGGGAGGGUCUCUUUGGCACUGGGUCUCCAGGACCACAAAGGAGCCCACUCCAGAUCAGAGUGCAUGGCCUUAUCUUGCCCAUUUCCAAAAUAGCAGCAGCAUUUUCACCCUGA
This is a long non-coding RNA of Vulpes vulpes (red fox), 426 nucleotides long. Lineage: Eukaryota; Metazoa; Chordata; Mammalia; Carnivora; Canidae. The record is from Ensembl.